Molecule: ribosomal RNA, 1378 nt
Filed under: uncultured bacterium
Lineage: Bacteria
Description: 16S ribosomal RNA
Rfam family: Bacterial small subunit ribosomal RNA
Source: RNAcentral
UUAGAGUUUGAUCCUGGCUCAGGAUGCAUGCUGGCGGCGUGCCUAACACAUGCAAGUCGAACGGACUCAUAUUGAAGCCUAGUGAUUUAUGAGUUAGUGGCGGACGGGUGAGUAACGCGUGGAAAACCUGCCGUAUACCGGGGGAUAACACUUAGAAAUAGGUGCUAAUACCGCAUAAGCGCACAGCUUCGCAUGAAGCAGUGUGAAAAACUCCGGUGGUAUACGAUGGUUCCGCGUCUGAUUAGCUGGUUGGCGGGGUAACGGCCCACCAAGGCAACGAUCAGUAGCCGGCCUGAGAGGGUGAACGGCCACAUUGGGACUGAGACACGGCCCAAACUCCUACGGGAGGCAGCAGUGGGGAAUAUUGCACAAUGGGGGAAACCCUGAUGCAGCGACGCCGCGUGAGUGAAGAAGUAUUUCGGUACGUAAAGCUCUAUCAGCAGGGAAGAAAAUGACGGUACCUGACUAAGAAGCCCCGGCUAACUACGUGCCAGCAGCCGCGGUAAUACGUAGGGGGCAAGCGUUAUCCGGAUUUACUGGGUGUAAAGGGAGCGUAGACGGCAGCGCAAGUCUGGAGUGAAAUGCCGGGGCCCAACCCCGGAACUGCUUUGGAGACUGUGCAGCUUGAGUGCGGGAGAGGUAAGUGGAAUUCCUAGUGUAGCGGUGAGAUGCGUAGAUAUUAGGAGGAACACCAGUGGCGAAGGCCGCUUACUGGACCGUAACUGACGUUGAGGCUCGAAAGCGUGGGGAGCAAACAGGAUUAGAUACCCUGGUAGUCCACGCUGUAAACGAUGGAUACUAGGUGUGGGGGGACUGACCCCCUCCGUGCCGCAGCUAACGCAAUAAGUAUCCCACCUGGGGAGUACGAUCGCAAGGUUGAAACUCAAAGGAAUUGACGGGGGCCCGCACAAGCGGUGGAGUAUGUGGUUUAAUUCGAAGCAACGCGAAGAACCUUACCAGGGCUUGACAUCCUACUAACGAACCAGAGAUGGAUUAGGUGCCCUUCGGGGAAAGUAGAGACAGGUGGUGCAUGGUUGUCGUCAGCUCGUGUCGUGAGAUGUUGGGUUAAGUCCCGCAACGAGCGCAACCCUUAUUGUUAGUUGCUACGCAAGAGCACUCUAGCGAGACUGCCGUUGACAAAACGGAGGAAGGUGGGGACGACGUCAAAUCAUCAUGCCCCUUACGUCCUGGGCCACACACGUACUACAAUGGCGGCCAACAAAGAGAGGCAAGACCGCGAGGUGGAGCAAAUCUCAAAAAGCCGUCCCAGUUCGGAUCGUAGGCUGCAACCCGCCUGCGUGAAGUUGGAAUCGCUAGUAAUCGCGGAUCAGCAUGCCGCGGUGAAUACGUUCCCGGGCCUUGUACACACCGCCCGUCA